This 821-nucleotide ribosomal RNA is filed under the name uncultured Pseudomonadota bacterium. RNAcentral describes it as "bacterial SSU rRNA". It matches the Rfam family "Bacterial small subunit ribosomal RNA", at positions 58 to 857 of the family's 1533-position model. Lineage: Bacteria; Pseudomonadati; Pseudomonadota. The record is from RNAcentral.
CAAGUCGAACGCGAAAGUCCCGCAAGGGAUGAGUAGAGUGGCAAACGGGUGAGUAACACGUGGGUGACCUGCCUUCGAGCGGGGGAUAACGUCCCGAAAGGGACGCUAAUACCGCAUGACAUCCUGCCUUUGAAGAGGUGGAGAUCAAAGCUGGGGAUCGCAAGACCUAGCACUCGAAGAGGGGCCCGCGCCUGAUUAGCUAGUUGGUGGGGUAACGGCUCACCAAGGCAACGAUCAGUAGCCGGCCUGAGAGGGCGGACGGCCACACUGGGACUGAGACACGGCCCAGACUCCUACGGGAGGCAGCAGUGGGGAAUUGUUCGCAAUGGGCGCAAGCCUGACGACGCAACGCCGCGUGGAGGACGAAGACCUUCGGGUCGUAAACUCCUUUCGAUCGAGACGAAUGGCCUUCGGGUAAACAAUCCGGAGGAAUGACGGUACCGAGAGAAGAAGCCCCGGCUAACUCCGUGCCAGCAGCCGCGGUAAUACGGGGGGGGCAAGCGUUGUUCGGAAUUACUGGGCGUAAAGGGCUCGUAGGUGGCCAACUAAGUCAGACGUGAAAUCCCUCGGCUUAACCGGGGAACUGCGUCUGAUACUGGAUGGCUUGAGAUUGGGAGAGGGAUGCGGAAUUCCAGGUGUAGCGGUGAAAUGCGUAGAUAUCUGGAGGAACACCGGUGGCGAAGGCGGCAUCCUGGACCAACACUGACACUGAGGAGCGAAAGCCAGGGGAGCAAACGGGAUUAGAUACCCCGGUAGUCCUGGCCCUAAACGAUGAAUGCUUGGUGUGGCGGGUAUCGAUCCCUGCCGUGCCGAAGCUAACG